RNAcentral lists this ribosomal RNA (482 nucleotides) under uncultured bacterium. RNAcentral describes it as "partial 16S ribosomal RNA". It matches the Rfam family "Bacterial small subunit ribosomal RNA", at positions 30 to 507 of the family's 1533-position model. The record is from RNAcentral.
AUUGAACGCUGGCGGCAUGCUUUACACAUGCAAGUCGAACGGUAACAGGCCGCACGUUUCUGACGAGUGUCGAACGGGUGAGUAAUGCAUCGGAACGUGGCCAGUCGUUGGGGAUAACUACUCGAAAGAGUAGCUAAUACCUCAUACGAUCUAUGGAUGAAAGCGGGGGACCGUAAGGCCUCGCGCGAUUGUAGCGGCCGAUGUCAGAUUAGGUGGUUGGUGGGGUAAAGGCUCACCAAGCCAACGAUCUGUAGCUGGUCUGAGAGAACGACCAGCCACACUGGGACUGAGACACGGCCCAGACUCCUACGGGAGGCAGCAGUGGGGAAUUUUGGACAAUGGGCGCAAGCCUGAUCCAGCAAUGCCGCGUGCAGGAAGAAGGCCUUCGGGUUGUAAACUGCUUUUGUACGGAACGAAACGGCUCUGGUUAAUACCCGGGGCUAAUGACGGUACCGUAAGAAUAAGCACCGGCUAACUACGUG